GCACUGCUGACGAGUCCCAAGAACAAGACGAAACAGCCUUCCAGUGC
Molecule: non-coding RNA, 47 nt
Filed under: Echinostoma caproni
Lineage: Eukaryota; Metazoa; Platyhelminthes; Trematoda; Plagiorchiida; Echinostomatidae
Source: RNAcentral